This 1629-nucleotide long non-coding RNA is filed under the name Vitis vinifera (wine grape). Its description in RNAcentral is "long non-coding RNA (VVIN_LNC004917)". The record is from RNAcentral. Lineage: Eukaryota; Viridiplantae; Streptophyta; Magnoliopsida; Vitales; Vitaceae.
CACAAUAGGUUCUUCUUGAUCUUUCUUUUCAACAUAGUUGGCUUGUCCUUCCAUAUUGUUAGUGGAACUUCUACAUUCAUAAGCAUAAUGAUCAUAUUUAUUACAACUACAACAUCGAGUUUGGGAUAUCAUACUUUCCUUUUUCAUUUUGCCUUGAGUUGUGCCAUCUUCCACUCCUUUUUAAGGAAUAUGAGUUUUGGCAUGUUCUUUAAUUUUUUAAUGAAUUAAAACUACCUCUUCCUCUAGUGCCUCAGCCACAUCCACGACCACAUCCACGACCACAUCCAUAGCCUCGUCCACGUCUACGUUCACAAUUAUUUUGACUUCUUUCAUUAAAAUUUUCUUCAUUCUCUUUUAAUGAAAGCUUUGUUUGAAGAACUAGUUCCAAUUUUUCUUGGUUCUUUUUUAAUCUCUCUUCAUGGGCUUGCAAUGAUCCUAUAAGUUAAUCAGUGGUUAUAAAAUCUAAAUCUUUAGAUUCUUCAAUGGUCACAACAAUAUAAUUAAAUUUUGAAUAUAAAGAUCGAAGUAUUUUCUUAAUCACAUGAGUAUUAUUUUAACUCUCACAGUUUCUUUUUAAUAAAUUCACAAUAACGAAUACUCUUGAAAAAUAAUUAGAGAUUGAUUUUAAUUCUUUCAUAUUCAAACCUUCAAAUUCUUCUCUAAGAGUCUGAAGAUAAACUUUUAGUACCUUGUCAACUCCUUUGUGUGUAUUUUGUAAUAUCCCCUAGACUUCCUUCAAGGUGGUUGCACUUAAAAUCUUCUCAAAAGUGCCUUCAUCCAUUGCUUGAUAGAUGAUGGUCAAAGCUUUUUUGUCUCUCUUCCUCAUAUCUUUAAAAAAAAAUCCCUUUGAUUUGGGGAUAGAUUAGUCUCAUUUUGUGGGUCUUGUGAACCAAGCAAAACCUUCAUCUUGAUGCUCUAAUUAUUGUAGUUGUCUUUAUUGGAUUGAGGAACUUGAAAUGGAUAUAUCCCACUUGCCAUCUUUUUCAUGACUCUAAUACCAAUCUGUUGGAUAUGCAAAAACAUUGAUACUAAUUUGGUUGGAGUAAUGGGGUUGAUAGAGAAACACACAACUUACAAGGAAGAUAAAAUUAGGGAGAACUAAAAUUUUUAUUGUCUUCAACCACUCUCUCUAUUUUUUCAAACAUUGCAAAAUCUUCUAUUUAUAAUUACUCACACUAAAUAUAAUAGAAACUCUUAAUAAUAAUAUAUAAAAACCUUCAAAGACUUAAAAAAACUCAAUAAUAGAAACUAGAAUAACAAACUCAAGAAUAGAAACUAGAAUAACUACCUAAAAAAAAAUAUUCUCCCUUGACUUUUUAGAAACUAAAUCUAAUUGUAAUAUUUUAGAAGUUUCUACAUCAAGUUUAUUUUUCAACACUACUUAGUCCAAAUCCAACAUCUUAUCUCCUCCUAUGGAACUUGCAAUACCUAGGAGAGCAUGGAAGCCUUCCAACCAACCCUAAGGCAUCCAUGAAGAUUCCCUAUAUCGGGAAAAGGAGUUCUUUUAGAGGGUGGAGUUGUAGAUAUUCUUCUAUAGAUUUUGCAGCAAUGCUUGAGUAGCUAGAUUAGUGCUCGAACAGUGAUUGAGUGCUCAAGCAACCUUCAAGCAUUGCAUCCAAUGCCAAAAGC